AACAACCCAAAGUUGACUAGGAGACGACGGCCUAGACCUCUCACAAACUCGCACAGCAUCCUCCAUGCGCCUUAUCCUGUGGUACCUGUUCUUGACCUGUGGGGGGUGUGAGACAGCAAGAGUGAGCUCACAUACGUUCAUCACUCAACAAGUUGUGGGGAAUAAUGCGCAUGAACUCGCCAAAGGUGGGAUCUCACCUGAAGUGUAAGGCUUACCAAAGAGGAUGAUUAGAGAUGAGCAUUGCUUUUAAAGUUGGUCAAAAUUUUAUUAGCAGUUACUAAGUAUAAGUAAAUACCAACCCAAUUAAGAAGUAAUAACAUCACCUGCGAUGCAAUGCAUAUGACAAAUUGAAUUUAGUUCCAUAAAUUAAUCAUGUGAGGGUCUGAGCUGCUCAUGACCGUGAGCACGGCUAGUAUACCAGUUUUACACUCUGCAGAGGUUGCGCGUCUUUACCCACAAGUCAUGUUACCCAUCUGCCAAGGGAUCGCGACUUCCCAUACACCUCUACCGAGGAGGCGAGGCAGGGUAACACUACGAGGCCUUUACUAAGUUCCACUAGCUUUAGAAAACCCGCUACAGUUUAUAGGAAGCUCCAAUGCAGGGACCCUUCGCAUGACCUCCAUCGCAGCAAAAUCAUCCCAAGGACCUCCCCACACUGACCACUCCCCUACUGCCCUUGCCCCUUUCAGGUAAGGUAGUCUUCCACUAGCUUUCCUAAUUAAUCAGCCAAGGGCGUCCCAUUAAACCCUUGUGGUAGCACUAUUUUCCCGGGUGGUCGCUCCAUGUUCCAAUUAACAUAAUGAUCUUAUCAUGAACAGUAAUAAUAAACAGAUAAUAAAAGUGUGAUCAUGAAUAAUGUAUCUUCAUACCCAAAACCACAUAGAGCACUAGCAAGUACUACCCAAAAAGUUCAGUGGUAAACAAGGUUUAAAGAUAAAUAAACUAGGGUAACCUAUUGGGUCCCAUCAAAAUUAACAUAUGCAGAUCAUUAUGAUUAAUUAGAACAUGAGUGGGUAAAAAGAAGUGAUCAAGGGCACAACUUGCCUGGCACUUGAGAUUCCAGUUACCAGGGUGAUUCUUUGGAUACUCGAAACCUCGCUGCUAGUCGUAGCAAUGCAAACAAACAUGGUAUAGACAAAAUUAAUAGCACACCAAACAUAAGAACAUACUGUAUAAUAAUGAUCUACGCGUUGCUACGAGAUCGUGGGAACGAGAACUACUAAGAUCGGAGUUACGAUUAAGGAGUUAUGAUUUUAUAGAAGAUCUGUGUGAUUCAAAUACUAAACUAUAUUAUAAAUUGGUUAGUGUAAAUCAUAUGAGAGGUUAUUCUCUAAAUAACUAUCUCAACUUUAAUCUAGUUAUAAAUUGACCAUAAAUUAUAUUCUAGCAGAUUCUAAUGAUAAGCAAUUUAACCAGUCUAACCAACAAAAAUUAAAUAAAGAUCUAAUUAGAAAAAAAUGAGACAUGCUACAAUAAAUGUUGUUAUUGAAUAGUAAAUAUUUAUACGAGAUUAACGCAACUGGAACGAGUCAAUUCGGAUUUAAAACGAAAGGGUUAUGAAUUUCCUAAGGUUUUAUGUAUUCCAUACAAGAUUAACCAAGAGAUUAAUUUAAUACAAUUUUCAUAUCAAAACAUUGGCACUAUGUGAUGAACAAUAAUAUUAGAAGAUUAUAGGAAUUGGAAUGAGUCAAAAAGGAGUUAAAAUGUAUUUUCUAGGAAUUAUACAAGUUCUUGGAAUUAAUUUUGCAAUAAAAAUAAUUUUCUGAAUAAAUUUCUCUGUUUUACUAAGGUCUGGACUGCACGCGCUAAUAACAGAUAACUCAGGGUUUAAUAAGCAAAUGUUUCCAAGACUCAGGACCCUCCCGCGAAGGACUGCAGGUUUAUUCCCAAAAUCCUGAGGGGUUCAUACGCAAAAGACGCACGACGAAGGAGUACGGUUAUAUCCUGUCUGUUGGAUCGCCGAUCUACGGAUCAGAUUAGAUCCAAACUUUCCUGAACGGUACGCUAUAUGGGCCUUUGGAUCUAUAUCUAACGGCCACGACCACAUCGGAUGAAGGGGUAUACUGGAUUUAAUCGUGACCGCACGUUUUUAAUCGAACGCACGACACGCCCGCCAACCGUUGGAUCUCUAUCCUACGGUCCAAACACCAUCUUCAACCCUCCGCUCCUAAUCGCGACGGCAACAGGGACACACGACGGCGCCCAGCUGGGGUCGGCAAGGCCGACACCCAAGCACCAGUUUCUAAAUCCAAUCGAUCUAAACGGUCUACUCAUGGCCUCUCGUAAAAGGGACGAAGAAAACAUGAAAUCACAUGGGAGAAACCCAUACCGACGACGGGUCCGUGGCGGCAACAAUUCUGGCCAUGGUGCAGCGCAUGCCAGCCCUUCGAAGCAUGCCCAGGUUUUCCCAACCUCAGCGGCACGACGACGGACCCGUACCGGCAAGGAAACACCAUGGUCCGAGGCCAUCCAUCCCUACAUCCCGCGCUUUGAGGAAGCUCCGCAUAGGGUGUUCUAAAUCUCUCUCUCGGUCGGUGUCGUGAAGGUGUUUUGCG
Molecule: long non-coding RNA, 2555 nt
Filed under: Zea mays
Lineage: Eukaryota; Viridiplantae; Streptophyta; Magnoliopsida; Poales; Poaceae
Description: long non-coding RNA (ZMAY_LNC003567)
Source: RNAcentral